Molecule: ribosomal RNA, 403 nt
Filed under: Verrucomicrobiota bacterium
Lineage: Bacteria; Pseudomonadati; Verrucomicrobiota
Description: Verrucomicrobia bacterium partial 16S ribosomal RNA
Rfam family: Bacterial small subunit ribosomal RNA
Source: RNAcentral
UGGGGAAUAUUGCACAAUGGGCGCAAGCCUGAUGCAGCAACGCCGCGUGAACGAUGGAGGUCUUCGGAUCGUAAAGUUCUGUUGCAGGGGAAGAUAAUGACGGUACCCUGUGAGGAAGCCCCGGCUAACUACGUGCCAGCAGCCGCGGUAAUACGUAGGGGGCUAGCGUUAUCCGGAUUUACUGGGCGUAAAGGGUGCGUAGGUGGUCCUUCAAGUCGGUGGUUAAAGGCUACGGCUCAACCGUAGUAAGCCGCCGAAACUGGAGGACUUGAGUGCAGGAGAGGAAAGUGGAAUUCCCAGUGUAGCGGUGAAAUGCGUAGAUAUUGGGAGGAACACCAGUAGCGAAGGCGGCUUUCUGGACUGCAACUGACACUGAGGCACGAAAGCGUGGGUAGCAAACAGG